AGAAACAAUAUGGUGAAGUUAUAAGGAGAGGGGAGGGGUGGGGGGCGGGAAAGAUUCCUUAGGAUAGAAAAAAAACAAUGAAGAAAGCUCCACUUGAAGACCUAUGAAAUUUCCGACACUAGAACCUUUGUAUAUAGUUUUCGGUAACCUUCGGCAGGGGGCGCUCUGAAAUUGUUGCCACUUUCCGGACAGCCUCCCGUACUUUACCCUCUACAAAAUUGCACAGUGUUUCCGGCCCUUCUCAGUUGUGGACGCUCAUCACUGGCGUUAUCCUUCUUGCAGUUGGCAUUUGGGGCAAGGUGAGCCUGGAGAAUUACUUUUCUCUUUUAAAUGAGAAGGCCACCAAUGUCCCCUUCGUGCUCAUUGCUACUGGUACCGUCAUUAUUCUUUUGGGCACCUUUGGUUGUUUUGCUACCUGCCGAGCUUCUGCAUGGAUGCUAAAACUGUAUGCAAUGUUUCUGACUCUCGUUUUUUUGGUCGAACUGGUCGCUGCCAUCGUAGGAUUUGUUUUCAGACAUGAGAUUAAGAACAGCUUUAAGAAUAAUUAUGAGAAGGCUUUGAAGCAGUAUAACUCUACAGGAGAUUAUAGAAGCCAUGCAGUAGACAAGAUCCAAAAUACGUUGCAUUGUUGUGGUGUCACCGAUUAUAGAGAUUGGACAGAUACUAAUUAUUACUCAGAAAAAGGAUUUCCUAAGAGUUGCUGUAAACUUGAAGAUUGUACUCCACAGAGAGAUGCAGACAAAGUAAACAAUGAAGGUUGUUUUAUAAAGGUGAUGACCAUUAUAGAGUCAGAAAUGGGAGUCGUUGCAGGAAUUUCCUUUGGAGUUGCUUGCUUCCAACAAGGACGAUAGGCCUGAGUGUGAAGUUAAGAGAAUGGAAGAGAAGAUAGACAAUGGAAUGCCAAUCUCAAAACAAAACAAUAAAAUGACCACUGUGGCACUGAGACCAAGGCAAGGUAUUACACUUAAAUCUGAGUUUAAAUGAUUUACAAUUGAGUGGGAAGAUUGUCCGGUGUACUGAGUUUACCAGGCUAUUUCUUAAUGUCACAGACCAGCCAUGUGACCCUCAUCAAAUCAUGGAGAGGCUUUUUCCCUCAGUUUUUCAUUUUACGGGGAUGACUCCACUCAGAGUGCUUAAGCAGAGACCAAUGAGAAAGCAGUGGAUUAAAAAAAAAAAGAAGUUACUUAUUCAAAAGGUAUAAGCUCUGGGCAAUUUAGUGACUGCCUUUUAUAAAAGAUAAGAUUGAGUCAGAUAGGUGAAUGGAUUCCUUCAAUGCCUCACAUUGUGACUUGAUUAAUAUUCACUUCUGAAAACUUAAAAAAUUCUACAAGAUGAAUAGAAUGUCGUAUUUUAAAAUGAGGAAAAAUCUGGAGUAAGAGAAGAUGUUUUUCUUCCUGCUGAUCUUCUUUCUUUCUAAAUAAGCGCCUUGGAUAUUAUCAAAAGAGUCAUUAGAAUGUGAGUGUGAAAGACAGAGAGAGACAAGAAAAGAAAUAUAUCAUUCAAAGAGAAUUUGACAUAAGAGCAGUAACUGUGGGGAGAAAAAAAAACUUCAGUGAGACGUGGUAAAGUCAAGCAAUUUGGGUGAAAAGAACAUGUGGCGCUGUGCAGUAGUAGGUGCCAAGGAGGAUAGGUGGAAAAUAGCAUGUGCCUGGCCAAAGAACUUUUCAAUUUUUUUAAAAACUGAGAACAGGAGGAGAUAAACGGACAGUCUCCAAGGUGUUCUGGAAAAUCAAUCACAAACAUCAUCUAGAAGCAGCUGACUUAAUUCAUUCUAUUCCUAUUACAAUAAAUCUGACUGGCAUA
Pan troglodytes (chimpanzee) is the source of this 1803-nucleotide RNA transcript. It is a transcript of the gene named tetraspanin 6, with no coding region annotated. NCBI's taxonomy places the organism in Eukaryota, Metazoa, Chordata, Mammalia, Primates, Hominidae. The transcript has 8 exons. The record is from RefSeq and is a predicted model, not a curated record.